Long non-coding RNA from Acinonyx jubatus (cheetah), 9278 nucleotides. RefSeq lists it as uncharacterized. The transcript has 3 exons. The record is from RefSeq and is a predicted model, not a curated record. NCBI's taxonomy places the organism in Eukaryota, Metazoa, Chordata, Mammalia, Carnivora, Felidae.
AUGUUAGUGUUAAUUGAGUUGUUCAAAUCUUUUAAAGACUUUUUUUCCCUGUUUUUAUCAGUACGACGAAAGAAUCUUAAAAUCACCAACUAUGAUUGUAUCUCUUUUCUUUUCAGUUUUUUUCAGCUUUUCCUUUAUAUAUUCUGGAACUCUUAUUAGGUAUAUAAAAAGUUAGAAUUGUUACAAUUUAUGGUUGAACCAUUAUGUCAUUAUGAAAUGUCCUUCUUUAUCUCCAGUAGUAUUUCUUGCUUUGAGGUCUACUUUGAACUUCUGUUAACAUAGUCAUUCAGUCUUUUCAUCAGUAAUUCUGUGGUUUACUUUUUUCCUUCCUUUUAUUUCAACCUAUCUUAUUCUUACAUUUAAGACACUUAUAUUUAAGUGUCUUUUGGAAAUAGCAUAUUAUUCAGUCAUGUUUGUUUAAUCCAGUUUGACAAUCUGUGUUUUAACUGGAAUGUUUAUUCUGUUUAUAUUUAAUGUAAUUACUAAUAAUAGUUGGAUAGAAAUCUAUCAUUUCUCUUGUUAUUUUCUAUCUCAUAUUCUUUCUUUUUUUUGUUCUUUAAAAUUUUUCUAUUUUUUGAUUUGCCAAGUUUUCUAAAUUUCAUUUUUAUUAGCUUUUUGUUUAGAGCUUCCAUAAUUAUAAUUUUUUAGUUAUCAUAGAUAUUUUAAUAUUUUAUUAGUAUCAGUACUUUUACCACUUAUUGAACAAUGGAAAACUUAACACAAUUUAAUUUCAUUUACUCCUUCUCUGCUGUUUGUUUAUAUGUUUUACUUCAACGUGUGUUAUAAACCACAUAGACAUUUUUUAAACAAUCAGUGUUCUUUUGUAUUUAUCCCCAUAUAUACCCUUUCUAGUGCCCUUCAUUUACUUUUGGAGUUCUUUGCUACCAUCUGGGAUAAUUUCCCUUUUCCCUGAAGAAAUUCCUUUAAUAUUUCAUCUAGUGCUGAUCUGCUAAAUGCAGAUUUUCUUAGCUUUUGUCUGUGAAUGUCUCUAUUUUGACUUUUUGAAGAAAAAUUUUCCUCAUGCUGAAUUCUAGGUUGGUAUCUUUUAUUCUUUCAACACUACAAAUACUCCUUUUCUGGCUACCAUAAUUUUUGUUGAAAGUCAGCCAUCAGUCUUAUUAUUGCUCCUUUAAAAGUAAUGUGCAUUUUUUGACUGCUUUAACAAAUUUUUUUUGUUUGUAGUUUAUAACAGUUUGUGUAGUGUCUAAGCAUGAUUUUAUUUGCAUUCAUCUUUUGCAGGAAAAAUUUUAAAUAAAUAAAUAUUUUAAGUGUUUCCACCCUAAUCUCACUCCUCUCUCCUCAACUUGUUAGAUGUUUUGUCAUCAUUAGAUGUCAUAUGUCUGUUGUGCUUAUUCUUUUCUUUCUAUGAGUUAGGUAUUUCUACUGUUUUUUUUUUUUUUUUUAAGGAUAUUUAUUUAUUUUGAGAGAGAGAGAGAGAAUGCAGGAGAGGGGCAGAGAGAGGUAAAGAGAAUCCCAAGCAGGCUCUGCACUGUUAGCACAGAGCCUGAUGCAGGAAUUGAUCCUAUGAACUGUGAGAUCAUGACCUGAGCCAAUAUCAAGAGUCAGAUGCCUAACUGAUUGAGCCACCCAGGCGCCCCAUCUACUAACUUGUUUUUUAAGCUUACUAGUUCUCUCAUUUGCUGUGCCCAGACAAAUAUUAAAUCCAUCCAGUGAAUUUAAGUUAAUUUAUCUUAUUUUUUCAAUUCUAAGAAGUCUGUGUGAUUCUUUUUUUAAUAGAUUUCCAUUUUUUUUGUUGACUGUCUUCAUACUUUUAUAUAUUUUGUCUACUUUUUUCUCUGUUUAUGAACAUAUUAAUAAUUGCUUGAUGUCUUUGCUUAUUCCACUACCUGCAUCAUUUCUGACUGCUUCUGUUUUCUGCUUUUUGUCUUGAUUACAGGUCAUAUUUUCUUGUCUCUUCACAUAUGUUGUUAAGGAAGGAAAAAAUAUACCAUGAAUAAUAAUGAAAAGUAGAGUAGUUAUAUGAAUAGAUGUUCAUUUUUUUAAAGUUCUAUAGUAAACAAUAUAUAAUUUAACUAGAUAGAGGCUGAAAAAAAUCUCUUCCUCCAGAGAUGGUUUUCCUUUUCUUUUCUCUUUUUUUUCAUGUUUUAUUUUUUAAAAUUUUCAUCCAAAUUAGCAUAUAGUUCAACAAUGAUUUCAGGAGUAGAUUCCUUAGUGCCCCAUCUAGCCCAUCCCCUCUCCCACAACCCCUCCAGUAACCCUCAGUUUGUUCUCCAUAUUUGAGUCUCUUCUGUUUUGUCCCUCUCCCUGUUUUUAUAUUAUUUUUGUUUCCCUUCCCUUAUGUUCAUCUGUUUUGUCUCUUAAAGUCCUCAUAUGAGUGAAAUCAUAUGAUUUUUGUCUUUCUCUGACUGACUCAUUUCACUCGCAUAAUAUCCUCCAGUUCCAUCCAUGUAGUUGCAAAUGGCAAGAUUUCAUUCUUUUUGAUUGCCAAGUAAUACUCCGUUGUAUGUAUAUGUGUGUGUGUGUGUGUGUGUGUGUGUGUGUGUGUGUGUAUACACCACAUCUUCAUCCAUUCAUCCAUCAACGGACAUUUGGGCUCUUUCCAUACUUUGGCUAUUGUUGAUAGUGCUGCUAUAAACAUGGGGGUGCAUGUGUCCCUUCGAAAUAGCACGCCUGUAUCCCGUGGAUAAAUGUCUAGUAGUGCAAUUGCUGGGUUGUAGGCUAGUUCUGGUUUUAGUUUUUGAGGAACCUCCAUACUGUUUUCCAGAGUGGCUGCACCAGCUUGCAUUCUCAGAGAUGGUUUUCCUUUUCAACUGUUGAGCCAACUGGCUGUGGUGCUGACACUACAGUUUAAUUAAGAAUUGAACUAAAUUUAAUUAGGGUCAGUCUGGAUUGCAGUUUUGGUAAGAUUUAGUUAGUCAUGUCUCUUUUGCCAGUCUUGAGUUACUAGGUUUUUGACUGAGAAACUGUCAGGUUGUUUCUUUACCAUCUAGAAGAUUACAGGAGAUUCAAGUCUGUUCUUUGGAAGUUUUGAGGUUGGCCUUUUGAUCUCUUGCUUCACACUGCUUCAAAUUCAGGCAAAUAUUGAAAACCUGCUUAUGGUUAUUUCCUUUUUCUAGCAGGUUUUUUGCUAAGUACCAUGAGACUGAGGGAGAUUUCACUCUGCCAUUCUAGCUUAUUCUCCCAGCGUCCUGCAUCACCAUAGAACUCAGCAAAUAUCCCUUUUAGCCUUGCAUUUGGCACUUUCUAAUUUUUAGUCCACCACUCUAAAAAGCUCUGCUGCUUUCUGUCUUUACCAGUCCUUCUGCCUGGAUCAAUCUCAAUUCUCAGUCAGUGCCCAGAAUGUUUAAAUGCUCCUGGGAAAGAAAUAGCAGGUGAUUGUCAACUCAGCUAGCAAGGGCUCUUCUCUUUUGGAAUUUUAGUUUAUCUACUUCUUACUUCAUAAGCUCUCUGAUAUCUUAAGAAUAGGAUUUCAUUCAUUUUUUGCUUUUGAGAUAUCACAGUAACUAAUGUCUUCAAAGAUUGAAGCAGUGAACUGUAUUUUUUUCUGGUUAUAAAAGUAAUACAUGCUGUAUUAACUUUUGCUGAGUUAGGCUGCAUAACAGAUUACAAUACUUCAGUAUUUCAUUGGCUUACAAUAGCAAAGGUUUAUGUUUUGCUCUUGCUACGUGUUAGCUAAGGCUGGCAGUAGCUUUGCUCUUGCUCCAUGUGUCUUAUGAUUCUGAGAUCCAGGCUGGAGAACAACUUCUAUUUGGGACAUGCUGUUCUAAUAACAGGGAAAAAAAGAAAGAAAUCUGGCAGAAAUACACAGUGGCUCUUGAAACUUCUGGUUGGAUGUUUGUUUAUAUGUCAUUGGCCAAAGCAAAUCAAUAGCCAAAGUCAAUGGGGCAGAGAUGUUUACUUCUCUAUAAGAGUACUGUCAGCUACUUAGGAACAGGUGGAGAGGAUUAUCUUUUUGAAGGAAGGUGGAAAGAAUAAUUACAAAUUAUAAUAAAAUUUACCACACAUACGAACUGAAAAUAAAUACAGAGGUGUGUAGUAUUUCUAGUAGAAUUCUACCUUCUGCCCUCUAAGGUCAUCAGUGAUGAUACUUUGGUGUAUAUUCAGGAUUGAAACCUUCCUGUUAUGCUAAUCUGAUAGUUCUUUGGAAAUGAUAAUCUUGACAUAAAUUAGAAAUGAGAUUUUGUCUUUUUAACUAUUUACUCAUAAUUACAGAAGAGCCCUUAAACUGGUUACAUUUAGUUCUUCCUUUGCCAGGUAGUCCCCGACUUACUAUAAUUAAUUUUCAAUUUACUUAUUUAUUACUUUCAAUUUACUUCAAUUUAUAAUAUUUCAGUUUCUAAAUAUAAAACAUCUUUAGCCAAAAUUUGGGUCUGAUCCAUGACAUGUAGUAUCAUCACUUUCUUACUCUCUGAGAGAAGAUAAAAUUCAGAAUUGUGGAAUUUUGUAAAGGGUAUAUUUCUUAAGGGAAAGAGUGCUAGAAAUAAAAGUUAACAAAAAAUUCUUGGUCCAGCUCAACUAUUUCUACCUAAUGUAUUUCACAGUAAGUUUAAAAUGGGUCAAACAGACACCCUGUUAGAAUGAGACUACCCAUGAAGAAGGUUAGGUUUAUUUAGUCAUUUAUAGAUGUUUUCAUAUAGAGAGCAAUUUUUAGUGCUUCAGAUUUUCAUGAAGGGGUUUCAUUGGCAGGGAAAAGUGCAAGUAACUUUAUACAAAUUGGGGAGGGCAAGACUCAUGUGUGCAUUUGGACUCUGAAAGGCUCUUAGCAUUUGGGCCAUAGAAGAAGAGGGAGGUGAAAGAGGGCUGGGAAAAAUGGUCUAAUGUGUAAUUUUGCCUUAGGUCCAACCCAAUGGAGUUUGGCAUGCCAAUGAAAAUUAAAUUUACAAGACAGGUUGGUGGUGUUGGUACCGUGGAAGAGUGACUUGAAUGAGGCACAUUUGGAUUCAGAUUCUUUUCUAGUUGUGUGACUAAAAUGCUGUGUGAUUUGGGCAGUUUAUUUAAUUUGUAUUUAUAAAAUAGAAAUAAUAAUUGAUUUAUUGAUCCAAUCUUUAAAUUGUCCCUCUGUUCCUUCAGUCAUCACUUCCUCUUUUAUCUAACUUAAAUUUUAUAGGUUUUUUAUUAUCUGUAGCAUACAUUCUCAGCUCCCUGGCAUUUACCCCUUAACUUUCUUGUCUGACUCUAAGUUGGUCAUACUCAGAAAAAGUAUAACCCAGGUGGCAUUCAGUAUUCUUUUAAAUUCAAUCUGUACCUGUGGACCUCUAUGUCUAGAGGAAAAUGCGAAAUCGUGCUGACGAGUUUUAUUUUUUUAUCUUUUAAUGUUUGUUUAUUUUUGAGACAGAGAGAGACAGAGCAUGAAGGGGGAGGGUCAGAGAGAGAGGGAGACACAGACUCUGAAACAGGCUCCAGGCUCUGAGCUGUCAGCACAGAGCAUGACACGGGGCUCGAACUCACAGACUGUGAGAUCAUGACCUGAGCCGAAGUUGGAAGCUCAACCGACUGAGCCACCCAGGUGCCCCAGUUUUACUUUAAAUUAAUGGUCAUAAACAUCAAGUGAGUCCUUUAUAUUAUCUGGCAUUCAUACUACAUUUUCCUAGGGCAUUUAUUUUUUUAUUCUCUUAGAUGGCUUAUUUCAUGUUUUCUCUCAUCAGACUUCCUGACAGUAUCUUUUCCCCAAUCUUGUCCUCAGCUGAUGAUUUUGCUUCUUAAGUCACUGAAAAAAAAUUGAAGCAAUCAGAAGGGAACUUGCAUGGACUCCUUUUAUCACAGCCAUCUACCUACCAAAAUCUCUAAUUCCUAUACUCUAUAUUCUCACCUAUUACUUUCAACUUUUCUAAAGCCAGUAUCUCUGUUGUGCAUUAUAUUCAUUUAUUUAUGCAUCCUUAAUAAUAUUGUUUCAUCAAUUCUCUACUCUUACUAAAGUUUUCUCAGUACUGCAUCACUGCCAUAAAAAGACAAAAGAUGUUUUAUUUUUAUAACAUCUUUUAUUUGGCCGUCCUUCCCUUACCAGGUAAUACUUUAUUUGCUCUCCAUUUACAACAAACUAUUUGAAAGAGUUGUCCAUGCUCACUGUGUCCAAUUACAUUUUUUUCUAUUUCCUUUUAAAUCCAGUACAGUUAUUUUUUAUCAUUGCAUUGAAACUACUCUCAAUAAAGUUACCAAUAACUUUUAUAUUGCCAAAUCUCAAGUUAAUUUCUCAAUACACAUCUCCCUUGACUUAGCAGCAACAUUUGAUAACAGUUGAUUAUUGUCUCUUGCCUAUCCCUUCUUGGCUUCCAGGAAAUUAUACUUUAAAAGAUCUUUCUUCCUGUAUCAUUUUUCCUUCUUCUCAGUCUCUUAAAAGUUGGGGUAUCUGUCUUUGGUUCUCUUCUCUGUCUACACUCACUCCCUUGUGACCAUGGCUCUAAAUACCAACUAUAUACUGACAACUGCCAAAUUUAUAUUUAUAUCUCCAUUUAAGACCCCUCUCUUGAAUUCCACACUCCUAUGUCUAUAUCUGUCUAUCUAUGUCUGUCAAGUAGGGGAUAUAUAUUUUUGUAUAUACUACUUGACAUUGCCAUUUGGAUGUCUAAUUAACAUUGUGUAAUUAAUAUGUCUGUAUCCAAAUUAUUGAUUUCCUGCUCAAAACUUGCUCUUGCCACAAUAUUUUUCAGCUCUGUAAAUGUCUACUACAUUUUUCCCAGUUGGAGCCACCAUUGAUUUCUUCUCUUUCUUACUCCCACAACCAGUUUGUAAUCAAAAGCUUGUCAAGCCAUACUUUGAAAAUAUGAAAAUGUACUUAAAAUACAUCAAUUUCUUACUAUUUCCACUGCUAUUACCCUGGUCCAAACCAUUUUAUCUCACCUGGAUUACUGCAGUAAUCUGGUAAUUUGUCUCUCCGUUGCACUUUUACACUCCCUCUUACAGUCUUUUCUUAACACAGUAGCCAAGUGAUCCCCUUCCAAAAGUAAAAUGUUUCACUUCCCUGCUCAGAGUUGUCGCCUGGCUCCCAGGAACCACAGGACCAACUUCCUUAAAUGUCACCUUCUCAAACUCUCUUUUUCACAUAUAUUCCUCCCUUGUAUACUCCUAAUUUCCCUUACCUGCUCUAUUUUUUUUCUAUAGCAUUUAUUGCCAUUUAACAUAUUUUUUAAUUUACAUGUUGAGUUGUUUAUUGUCUUUUCCCUUUGUUAGAAUAAGCUUCACUAGGGCCGGGAUCUUCAUCUAUUUGUUUUAUUUACUGACACAUUCUUAGUAACUGAAACAGUGCCUAGCAUGUAAUAAGUGCCCAGUAAAUAUUUUUUGAGUGAAAUAAGAAUGCCUGUUCCUCAAGAUUGUAUAGAUAUUAACUGUGACAGUAUACUUGAAGUCCAGACGAUAACAGGCAAGCUAUACAUGCUUAGUAAUUUUGUUAUUUUUCUUCCCGUUUCUUAGUUACUCAGGAAGUGUUGGGAGUUCUGUGUUUAUUUCAUUCUCCCUGGUGUAGCCUUUGCAUCUGAACCAGCUUUUCCUCAUUCUUCUUUAUGUUCUCUCCCUCUUUCUAACAGAGAAGGGGGAAAGAGUUAAAAUUAAAGGAGUAGAAAUAUAGAGGAGGAAAAAGAUCUCUCAGUUUCUUGUAGGUGGAAAAAAAUUUAUCAGACAUCAGACUGCUACUUUUAAUGAUGUUUCUCCCAUUUUAGGAAAUCUCUUCUUUUUCUCCAUAUAUUAUUUUCUGGUUCACAGUUCCUGGCGUGUAGUUGAUGCUCAACAAAUUUUUGGGUUACCAUGUUAGUUUGGUUCAGUGGAAUUUACUUUUCCAAACAUAGAAGAUCUAAAAGGAACAAAAGAGUCUGAGAACUAAUUCAGAACAGUGAGUAAAAACUGAUACAAUCUUAUGCUACUACAUUGGCCAAGGGGAGAAAAUAUAAUUAUGCGAUGAAUCAGACAUAGACACGUGUUGGGAACAACAAGGUGUUGAAAAAAAGUAUAGCUCCUUAUUUUAUGAAACAUAUUUUUGUUGUUGUUUUAUUCUUACAAACCUUUUUGUUAUCCCAGUGUUAUAAAUGUGGAAACUGAGGUUCAGAGUGGUGAUAUAUCCUGUACAAAGUCAAACAGUAAGUAUCAGAGUUGGUGCUCAAAAUUAAGUCUUCUCAAUAACUAACUUCAUGCUCAUUCUAGUAAGAUAGGGAAAGUAAGGAAUAAAUACUAAAAAUUAAAAUAUUAAAAUAAUAUUUUGAGGUGUUUAUCCUAGUUUUAUAUUCUGGUUUUGCAUGUUAUGAGUCACAUCACAUUCUUUCUGAGUGUGAUAACCUUUUACAGAGUGAUGCUUAUGAGACUUAAAUGGAAGAAUGUUGUAAAAAUGUUGUGCUUAUUGGUGUUCUUAUUCCCUCAUAGUGUGGCAAACCACAGCUAGACUGGGUUAUAGGAAAUGGUCUGAGUAGAGACAAGUAAGAAUUUAAUUGUAUCAAGCCCCUAGGAAGAUAUCAGCAGAGACAACUGAUGCCAAUUUUAAAUGUUUUAGUGUAACUGAAAGGAAGAUGGCAUUGAAAUAUCUUUUCCAGUGAAUACUUUAAAGUUACUCACCUUUCUAAAACAAGCGUUAUCAAUUUGAAUUAAUGUAAAAGAAAUAUCACUGAAAAAUUUAUUCAUACAAAAUAAUGCUAAGUUGUACAAUAUAGUGAUUCAACAGUUCCAUUCAUCACCUGAUGCUCAUCACAACAAGUGCACUCCUUAAUCUCCAUCAUCUAUUUAACCCAUACCCCCAUCCACUUCCCUUCUGGUAACCAUCAGUUUCUUGACUAUAGUUUUUUUUUUUUUUUUUCAAUUCCCGUUAGUUAACAUACAGUGUAAUAUUAGUUUCAGGUAUACAAUAAAGUGAUUGAACACUUCCAUACACCACCUAGUGCUCAUCACAACAAGUGCACUCCUUAAUCCUCAUCACCUUUUCUCUAUGGUUAAGAAUGUGUUGUUUGGUUUGCUUCCCUUUUUUUCCCCCUUUGCUUGUUUGUUUUGUUUGUUAAAUUCCACAUAUGAGUGAAAUCAUAUGGUAUUUGUCUUUCUCUGACUGACUUAUUUCACUUAGCAUAAUACUGUCUAGCUCCAUCCAUGUCAUUGCAAAUGUCAAGGUUUCAUUCUUAUAGCUGAGUAAUAUUUCAGUGUGUGUGUAUAGAUAUAUACCACAUCUUCUUUAUCCAUUCAUGAAUUGAUGGACACUUGGACUGUUUCCAUAAUUUGGCUAUUGUAGAUUAGAUAAUGCUGCUAUAAACAUUGGGAAUGCAUGUAUCCCUUUGAGUUAGUGUUUUUGUAUUCUUUGGGUAAAUAUCUAGUUGUGUGAUUGCUGGAUCGUAGGGUAGUUCUAUUUUUCA